GCCUCCAUUGGAUAGCUCAGUUAGUAGAGAAUAAGACUUUUAAUCUCAGGGCUCUGGGUUUGAGCCCCACAAAAAGAUUCCGGCA
Molecule: non-coding RNA, 85 nt
Organism: Podarcis lilfordi (Lilford's wall lizard)
Lineage: Eukaryota; Metazoa; Chordata; Lepidosauria; Squamata; Lacertidae
Source: the annotation of a GenBank genome assembly